Molecule: long non-coding RNA, 2039 nt
Organism: Nannospalax galili (Upper Galilee mountains blind mole rat)
Lineage: Eukaryota; Metazoa; Chordata; Mammalia; Rodentia; Spalacidae
Source: Ensembl
GUGAGGAAGAGUUUGUAACACUUGGUUAUUGAGACGCUAAUGUUUUUGUUUUUUCUUACAGGAGACAGAUUUUGUCUGUUUCGAAGGAGGAAAAGACGAUUUUGAUAAUUAUAAUAUAGAAGAACUUUUAGGGUCUUUGGAACUGUAUGAUUCUGCACCUGAAGGGUCUGGCAAACCUGAAGAAAAUGUUCCUCAGUAUGCAGAAAAACAUCAUGAAGUGUCUAAGGAGACUGAACUUAAACCUGAGCCAGUUAAAGCCGACUCAGGAGAAAGUGCAUUUUCAGAAAGUGCUGAGGAACUGCAGGGAGAGUUUUCAGCUCAGAAGAGCCACCCUCAUGCCAGUAGUCGAACAGAUAGUGUGCAGGGAGCAGAGUCUUCACUGGACACCUUUGAAGAAAUGCUGCAUGAUAAAUUAAAAGUGCCAGAAACUGAAAACAAAACCAGCAAUAGUUCUCAGGUCCCAAACGAACAGGAAAAGAUAGACGCCCAUAAACUUCUGAAGACAGACGUGUCUCUAGGCUUGAAAACCAAGUUCGGCUCAACCACUGAUGCGCUUGUAUCCGACGAUGAGUCAACCAGACUGGUCACUUCAUUAGAAGAUGAUUUUGAUGAAGAAUUGGAUGCUGAGUAUUAUGCAGUGGAGGACGGAGAAGAGGAGAACACAGACAAUUUGGAUGAGCUGCCAUUACUAACCUUCACAGAUGGAGAAGAUAAGAAAGCUCCUGAGGCGUAUGAGGUAGAGAAAGAUUCACUAGAUAAGGCACUGGACUUAAGUGAAGAGGGGAAGGUUGAACCCACUCUGCCUCCUGGCGUCCAAAGUGAUGGUAAAGAUAGAGUGACAACCUGGGGGGACACCUUCUUCUCUGUUAUCACAGGAGGUGAAGAAAAACCAGGAAUGUCAGAGUUAGAGAGUUCUAAUUCAGAGGACAAAAAGGAAGAGGAGAAUGUAUUAGUCCUAGAUAACAAAGAGAGGAAGCCACUGUCAGCAACAGAUUAUGCUAACCAUGAAGGUGCAGAAGAUUCUAAAGCAAAUGAUGAAAAAGACUCAGAAAUGGACCCAGACCUUCUUCUUAAAGGAAAAGAGAAGGAAAUACAGGAAUCUAAGAGGGGCCUGGUACAAAAUGAGUCAGAAUUAGAGAAUGGGAAGCCAGAAAUGGUGAGCACAUAUAGUUCUCAAAGUAAGAUCAACUCCCUGCCAGCCGCCAAGAAGGGCAAAGAAUCAACAUUAAAAGAAGUCUUUGAAAAAAAAAACGAUCUAAAAGAACCAGUUAUUCACAUCUCAAAGGAAACACACCAUGAAGAAAACACUGCAGAGAUUUUGGAAAAUGACUUAGAGAGUGACUCAGUACCCAGGGCUGUGGGGAGUCCAGUGACUGAAGAAAAGAGUGAACAAGAAUCCUUGGGUGUCGCACCACCCCUAGCAGAUAAUCAGCCUAACACAUCCAAAGACAGUAUGGCGGGGACAGAUGCUUUGGCCCAUGAACCAAAAACAGAUAAGCAGGAGAAAAUUCGAGAACCAGAUCUUAAAACUCAAAAUCAACCUAGAUUCCCUCCUCCAGAGGAAGCUGGUUUAUCAACAGAACUGGAAGAAAAAGCUCCUACCCUGGGAAGAAAUCUUCCUUGGCAGCAAGAAAGAGAUGCUGCUGCUGUACUUCACAGGCACGAGCAGAUGGGGCUUUCUAAGGAAGAGGGCAAAGAGGACUCCGCAAAUGCAGAACUCGCUCACCCCAAGGCCAUACAGGGGACACAGGAAGCUGGUAACCUGGAAGUGCCCAAUGUCCGUACGUUAGACGCAGAGGCAGACGAGGGUGAUUACCCCCCUGAGGAUCUACUGGAAGAUGAAAAUGCUCUAAGUGCACAGCAGUCUAGAGAAAACCACCCUGGGGUCCAGGAGAAGAGGUACCAACACCCUGGAGUAGAGACUGCCCCACUCAUCACACCCCCACCUCUGGAGGAAGACUGGGCUGGACCAGCAGAAGGUAUAGUACCUGCCCAUGACCUUGUGGGGUUGGGUUGGAAAAGCAGGGGAUGGGGGUAAG